CUUCGCCGUAACCCCUGCCCUUCUCUCGGACCAUUGUAACCGCUCUCCCCUCGCAUCCCAGUCUCGCCACCUUCCGGAAGCGCCACCCAGAGGAGGCGGGGCUGGCAGCGGCCAUGCCGGUGGGGAGUUAUUCAAAAGGGAUAAUACCCACUUCAUUUACCACCCAGCCUGGAGCAACUGAUCUAACAGGCAAGUGGCACUGGCUGGGGGGUUAGCCACGCUGCCGACUGGCAGCAUUCAACAGCACCAUCCAGGAGGCGGGCGCCAUUAUGUUCUUGUCUUCAUUCUCCAGCGGAUCUGAGAAGACCCACAGCGUCCUCUCUCUGCCUUUGUUUCUUAUCAGU
Long non-coding RNA from Bubalus bubalis (water buffalo), 344 nucleotides. RefSeq lists it as uncharacterized. Lineage: Eukaryota; Metazoa; Chordata; Mammalia; Artiodactyla; Bovidae. The record is from RefSeq and is a predicted model, not a curated record. The transcript has 3 exons.